CCUGCGCCACACUUUUUGAUGCCAAUUUUCUCCAUGCUGGAAUAGUUUUUGCAUUAGAUUUUUUUAUACCAAAGAGUUCUCUCACCCUCCUUUCUCACAUCCAAAUAUGGGUGUUAUAUUAUUUUUAUGGAAGGUUCAAAUUAGAUUUGAAUUGGUUACCAUAUAUAUAGACAAUGUUUGACAUUAUCUACAAGUCCACAA
RNAcentral lists this long non-coding RNA (201 nucleotides) under Elaeis guineensis (African oil palm). RNAcentral's name for it is "long non-coding RNA (EGUI_LNC029391)". Lineage: Eukaryota; Viridiplantae; Streptophyta; Magnoliopsida; Arecales; Arecaceae. The record is from RNAcentral.